GUCUUCCUUGGGGAGUCUCUUGCCCCGCUGGUACUCCACAAUACCCAGUGCCUGGUACCAGAUGCCUUUACGGACUGCAUCUCGGUCAUCCAUGGCACCCUCGUCAUACUCCACUGCUGGUUCCAUGCUGGUGCUGUCAGGGUCGCUGUACUGGGACAUGCGUUGCCCUCAAAUUGUAAAAUCCAAAGAAAUGGUGUCUCCUGUAGCUGUCCUUCUGGUUGUAGGAACGAUCCCGCCGCUUGCCACCAAUUGUAACGGAC
Non-coding RNA from Pelobates cultripes (western spadefoot toad), 260 nucleotides. The record is from the annotation of a GenBank genome assembly. Lineage: Eukaryota; Metazoa; Chordata; Amphibia; Anura; Pelobatidae.